AAGAACNCGAACAAGAGAAUACGAAGAACNUAGAGAUUGUCCUGGGGUAGUCGCAACGAGCGCAACCCUCGUCUCUAUGUUGCCAGCACGUAAUGGUGGGGACUCGUAGGAGACUGCCGGGGUCAACUCGGAGGAAGGUGGGGAUGACGUCAAGUCAUCAUGCCCCUUAUAUCUAGGGCUGCAAACAUGCUACAAUGGCUGGUACAACGGGCUGCAAUACCGCGAGGUGGAGCAAAUCCCUUAAAGCCAGUCUCAGUUCGGAUCGGAGUCUGCAACUCGACUCCAUGAAGUCGGAGUCGCUAGUAAUCCCGGAUCAGCUACGCCGGGGUGAAUACGUUCCCGGGCCUUGUACACACCGCCCGUCACACCACGAAAGUCGGCAACACCCGAAGUCAGUGGCCCAACCCGCAAGGGAGGGAGCUGCCGAAGGUGGGGUUGGUGAUGGGGGUGAAGUCGUAACAAGGUAGCCGUACCGGAAGGUGCGGCUGGAUCACCUCCUUUCUAAGGAGCAUCCGAGUAACUCACUCGGAGCACCAGUCGAGGCACUGGCUAGUNUGGUCUGUGCGGAGCAGUCGAUACUCGAGUACGCUCGUAUCACCGGCAAAGGCANGUCGUAACGUCCUCUGUGCCGUNUUGCGGGAUGCGCAUGAGUNNCCGUAANGCCCAAGUCGUAGACUCUUGCUGCCGUCGAAGACGCCCUCAUUGUUUCCUGAAACCCUUCGGUC
Molecule: ribosomal RNA, 725 nt
Filed under: uncultured bacterium
Lineage: Bacteria
Description: bacterial SSU rRNA
Rfam family: Bacterial small subunit ribosomal RNA (bases 1-501)
Source: RNAcentral